GGAAUAUUGGUCAAUGGAGGGAACUCUGAACCAGCCAUGCCGCGUGCAGGAUGACUGCCCUAUGGGUUGUAAACUGCUUUUGUCAGGGAAUAAACCUUUCUACGUGUAGGAAGCUGAAUGUACCUGAAGAAUAAGGAUCGGCUAACUCCGUGCCAGCAGCCGCGGUAAUACGGAGGAUCCAAGCGUUAUCCGGAUUUAUUGGGUUUAAAGGGUGCGUAGGCGGUCCUAUAAGUCAGUGGUGAAAGACGGCAGCUUAACUGUCGCAGUGCCUUUGAUACUGUAGGACUUGAAUCUAUUUGAAGUGGGCGGAAUAAGACAAGUAGCGGUGAAAUGCAUAGAUAUGUCUUAGAACUCCGAUUGCGAAGGCAGCUCACUAAGUUAGUAUUGACGCUGAUGCACGAAAGCGUGGGGAUCAAACAGGAUUAGAUACCCUUG
RNAcentral lists this ribosomal RNA (435 nucleotides) under uncultured Sphingobacterium sp. RNAcentral describes it as "bacterial SSU rRNA". It matches the Rfam family "Bacterial small subunit ribosomal RNA", at positions 358 to 790 of the family's 1533-position model. Lineage: Bacteria; Pseudomonadati; Bacteroidota; Sphingobacteriia; Sphingobacteriales; Sphingobacteriaceae. The record is from RNAcentral.